RNAcentral lists this ribosomal RNA (340 nucleotides) under Salmonella enterica. Its description in RNAcentral is "partial 23S ribosomal RNA". It matches the Rfam family "Bacterial large subunit ribosomal RNA", at positions 931 to 1269 of the family's 2925-position model. The record is from RNAcentral. Lineage: Bacteria; Pseudomonadati; Pseudomonadota; Gammaproteobacteria; Enterobacterales; Enterobacteriaceae. RNAcentral also lists the same sequence under 1 other name.
CCGGCUUACCAACCCGAUGCAAACUGCGAAUACCGGAGAAUGUUAUCACGGGAGACACACGGCGGGUGCUAACGUCCGUCGUGAAGAGGGAAACAACCCAGACCGCCAGCUAAGGUCCCAAAGUCAUGGUUAAGUGGGAAACGAUGUGGGAAGGCCCAGACAGCCAGGAUGUUGGCUUAGAAGCAGCCAUCAUUUAAAGAAAGCGUAAUAGCUCACUGGUCGAGUCGGCCUGCGCGGAAGAUGUAACGGGGCUAAACCAUGCACCGAAGCUGCGGCAGCGACACUGUGUGUUGUUGGGUAGGGGAGCGUUCUGUAAGCCUGUGAAGGUGUGUCGUGAGGC